CAAUAGCGUAUAUUAAAAUUGUUGCGGUUAAAAAAGACUCGUAGUUGGACAACUGGCGGAGGGGCCCGGUCCACCCGCAGGGUGAGCACAUGGAUCGACUUUGCCAGCUCCUUGGAAGCAGUCUUGAUGCUUCGCUGUGUCAGACGGCAUUCAAGAACUUUACUUUGAGGAAAUUAGAGUGUUCCAAGCAGGCACAUGCCUCGAAUACAUUAGCAUGGAAUAAUAAGAUCGGACCCCAUGUCUGUUUUGUAGGUUUCCAGAUAGAGGGUAAUGACUAUUAGGGAUAGCCGGGGGCAUUCGUAUUUGACUGUCAGAGGUGAAAUUCUUGGAUUUGUUGAGGACGAACCACUGCGAAAGCAUUUGCCAUGGAUGUUUUCAUUGAUCAAGAACGAAAGUUAGGGGAUCGAAGACGA
RNAcentral lists this ribosomal RNA (413 nucleotides) under uncultured eukaryote. RNAcentral describes it as "bacterial SSU rRNA". It matches the Rfam family "Eukaryotic small subunit ribosomal RNA", at positions 592 to 1007 of the family's 1831-position model. The record is from RNAcentral.